AACGAACGCUGGCGGCGCGUCUUAAACAUGCAAGUCGAACGGCAGGAAGGGGCUUGCCCCUUCUGAGAGUGGCGGACUGGUGAGUAACACGUGGGUGACAUACCUUUUAGUUGGGGAUAGCUAUUAGAAAUAGUAGGUAAUACCGAAUGUGACCGUACCUGUUAGAGGGGUACGAGGAAAGGAGCUAAGGCUUCGCUAAAAGAAUGGCUCGCGGCCCAUUAUGCUCGUUGGUGAGGUAACGGCCCACCAAGGCGAUGAUGGGUAUCCGGCCUGAGAGGGUGAACGGACACAUUGGGACUGAGAUACGGCCCAGACUGCUACGGGAGGCAGCAGUUAAGAAUAUUCCGCAAUGGACGAAAGUCUGACGGAGCGACGCCGCGUGGAUGAAGAAUGCCGAAAGGUUGUAAAAUCCUUUUAAGCCUGAUGAAUAAGCACAGUAGGGAAUGAUUGUGCGGUGACCGUAGGGCUUGAAUAAGCACCGGCUAAUUACGUG
RNAcentral lists this ribosomal RNA (493 nucleotides) under uncultured bacterium. RNAcentral's name for it is "partial 16S ribosomal RNA". It matches the Rfam family "Bacterial small subunit ribosomal RNA", at positions 29 to 507 of the family's 1533-position model. The record is from RNAcentral.